GACGAACGCUGGCGGCGUGCUUAACACAUGCAAGUCGAACGGAAAGGCCUGCUUUCCCUUGUGGAUUGCGGGUACUCGAGUGGCGAACGGGUGAGUAACACGUGAGUGAUCUGCCCCCAACUUGGGUAUAAGCCUGGGAAACUGGGUCUAAUUCCCGAUAGGACUGCAGGGUGGUGCCUGUGUUGGAAAACGAUUUUCUAGUGGUUGGGGAUGAGCUCGCGGCCUAUCAGCUUGUUGGUGGGGUAAUGGCCUACCAAGGCGGCGACGGGUAGCCGGCCUGAGAGGGUGGACGGCCACAUUGGGACUGAGAUACGGCCCAGACUCCUACGGGAGGCAGCAGUGGGGAAUAUUGCACAAUGGGCGGAAGCCUGAUGCAGCGACGCCGCGUGGGGGAUGACGGCCUUCGGGUUGUAAACUCCUUUCGACCGCGAGGAAGCCACCUGGUUGGAAGGGUGGUGACGGUAGUGGUAGAAGAAGCACCGGCUAACUACGUG
RNAcentral lists this ribosomal RNA (494 nucleotides) under uncultured bacterium. RNAcentral describes it as "partial 16S ribosomal RNA". It matches the Rfam family "Bacterial small subunit ribosomal RNA", at positions 28 to 507 of the family's 1533-position model. The record is from RNAcentral.